Molecule: long non-coding RNA, 272 nt
Filed under: Theropithecus gelada (gelada)
Lineage: Eukaryota; Metazoa; Chordata; Mammalia; Primates; Cercopithecidae
Description: lncRNA (ENSTGEG00000007956.1)
Source: RNAcentral
AAAAUGUCCCAUUUUUCUAUUGAGCUGCUGUGAUUUAACUUUUCAGGAAAGAAAAACCCUGUAAUCUACUGCAGAUAGCUGAAUUGGGCUGAUACAUGUGCUUUCUGAAAGAAUACCUCUUUUGGCUCCACAAGAAGCAAACAGCUCACUCGAAAGUUCUAGAGCAUUAUACAACGCCUUGAUUUGGGGGAGCCUUGAAGAAACCUUUGCUGGCAAUAGCAAUGACAAUUCAGGGAUUAAUGGUGGAGCUUGUUAGAGGUGGUAACUUCAAA